GUAGGGGGCAAGCGUUGUCCGGAUUUAUUGGGCGUAAAGAGCGUGUAGGCGGCUUGGUAGGUCCGCUGUGAAAACUCGAGGCUCAACCUCGAGAUGUCGGCGGAAACCACUUGGCUAGAGUCCGGAAGAGGAGAGUGGAAUUCCCGGUGUAGCGGUGAAAUGCGCAGAUAUCGGGAAGAACACCUAUGGCGAAGGCAGCUCUCUGGGACGGUACUGACGCUGAGACGCGAAAGCGUGGGGAGCGAACAGGAUUAGAUACCCUGGUAGUCCACGCCGUAAACGAUGGGUGCUAGGUGUGGGCGGUGUCGACUCCGUCCGUGCCGAAGCUAACGCAUUAAGCACCCCGCCUGGGGAGUACGGCCGCAAGGGUA
RNAcentral lists this ribosomal RNA (371 nucleotides) under uncultured bacterium. RNAcentral describes it as "bacterial SSU rRNA". It matches the Rfam family "Bacterial small subunit ribosomal RNA", at positions 527 to 896 of the family's 1533-position model. The record is from RNAcentral.